Molecule: long non-coding RNA, 1727 nt
Filed under: Triticum aestivum (bread wheat)
Lineage: Eukaryota; Viridiplantae; Streptophyta; Magnoliopsida; Poales; Poaceae
Description: long non-coding RNA (TAES_LNC017523)
Source: RNAcentral
CUGGUGUAAUGCACACAUGCUUGUACCAAUGACUGGUACCACAUAUAUAAGCCUAUAUAUUGUGCGAUGCUUAGAAGGGGCGUGCUUUCAAAUUCCCAAGGAAAAGAGCACUUAUAUAGUCCGUCAAAUCGGGUCAACAAUUCAACAUGCCUGUAGAUGUCGAGUGAUGUGAGUUGACUAUAGACAAAUAGCUAAAUAAAGGAGAUGAGGAAAUUAAUAUUAGUAGUGUAAUGAACUUCAUACUGACUGCAAGUCACGUACAUGUAGUCAAGUUGAGGCAGAAAUCAUUUUUCUUGGAACAUAAUUUGGUAGCACUCCAUCAUUGCCAUGAAACCUGUAAUUUCAAAUGUCAGUCUUCAGAUACAUAAUUGUUAAUUUAAGUCUUAACUGAAUCUCUGCAAGCAAGCAUGAUGGUUUUAGCAUCAGAUACAUAAAGAUUAGGAUAACCUGGCAUAUAAAUCACCUCAAAUUAGGGUAUACCAGGAUUGCAAAAUUCAUAGUUGUAGCACGGUACUAUAUAGUAUAGUGAGUAGCUUGUGCUUCAGGCCACCGACACACAACAUACUGGAAACAGUAAUACCCAUCUGAUGACUUGUACCGGUGAAAUGAUGCAAAGAAUAAGGUGAAGAGAGCAUAGAGAGAAGGUCAGACAACAUGUGAUUACGACCGACUCCAUUUGGUAAAGGAAAUAGAGGAUCCCUGCCCCCACUAGAACCAUCCAUUAUAUAGUUUUAGUGUUCAAGUACGUUAUUAAACCUUCCAAUAUGGAUUAGACGACAUCAUCAGCAACCUGUCGUGUGUCCAUCGGAAGUAUCAAUUGGACUACUCUAAAUGGGAAAGAUAAAAAUCCCCAAGGAUUAAAUACCGGCGAACAAAAUAAUAUCAUAACAAAAAAAUUAUUAGACAUGCAAAACCACUACAAUUUUCAAAGUAUAUAGCUAAAUUCACUUUUAUUUUUCACUUCUGUACGUAUGCAAAAAUGUAAUAAGGGUUUUAUAGACUUGUGGUACCUCUUUUAGUUUUUUUAGUGAUGCGUCCUCAAAAGUAUAGCAAUUAAGAAAAGGCCGGCAUGCCUGCAGUGGCGGAGGUGGGAUUAGUGGGAUUAGGAUGUUGGGGAGGGCCGGUUGGAGCAGAAAACAAGUCAAAUGCUGCACUGUUCAUGUGUUUAUUAUGAACAAAUCCAUAGUAUUGGGAGGGGGGCAGGGCCCCUUGCUGGUCAUGUGUUUAUCGCCACACAAUGCCUGCAAAUAAGAACAAAUUUUUUUCUCACUACAAUGAUUUUGAUAGUUAAAUUUAUCGGUACACAUUUAACUGGGAACAGAAAUAUUUUAGAUGAUGUACUCCUAAUCCCUCAUUCGAACGGUUGAUUACUUCAUCUGUUGACGAACCAAAAAAAUGAUAGGGGCACAUACAUACUCUUAAGUCAAUUUAUAAACCUUGAUGGAGAUGGAGAUAUUAACAAAUAGACUGAUAUUUGUCAGUUGUGACUGAAAUUAGGUAAUUCAUAGAAGGAUAAACUCUAAAAAUUAGCAGAAAAGAGGAAUAUGGAACAUUAGCAUGGAGUUUUAUAGUCGGAGAUCUGAUGGUGUAGAUGACCAUUGUUGAAUUGUAGUUUGAUCUAUACCCUAACCACACACAUAGUAAAGGUGGCAGUGGCUCCAGCGUCCACGAAGGCAGUGAAACUGGGACUCCGAAAUAUCCUCGUUUCCUUGUUCUGUGUUCAAGGG